GUAACUGCGAGUGAAGAGGGAACAGCUCAUCAUUGGAAUCAGACAGGGCUUGACUCUGUCCGAGUUGUAGAUGAGACGAGUAGGUUCAUCUGGACUGCAUGGCACUCAAGUACGAUAAUGCCCAUCAGUGGGACAUCAUAGAGGGUGACAAUCCCGUCUUUGGUGCCGAUGUUCGAGUCCUUUACGAUGCCUAUCUCAGGAGAGUCGAGCAGUUUGGGAUUUGCUGCUUCAACAUGGGAGGUAGACACCUUCUAAAGCUAAAUAUUGGCAAGAGACCGAUAGUGGACAAGUACCGCAAGGGAAAGAUGAAAUAGCACUCUGUAAAGGGAGUCAAAAGACGUGAAAUUGUUGCGAGAGAAGCGAUUCAAGUCAGCUUGACUAGGACCAUCGACGAUUCUUUCGUCUGGACUAGUCUCGCCAGCGGUCUCAUCCUUCGAUGGGGUUUGACCGAUGCGCCCUCAGUUGCGCGGCUGGUGGAAUGGCUUGCAAUCGACCCGUCUUGAAACACGGACCAAGGAGUCUAACAUGCAUGCAAGUAUAAGGGUGACAAACCCGUAUGCGCAAUGAAAGUGACUUUCGGUGAUUGCUGUGUGGCCUGACGACCAGACACGAAACGUGUUGUCCCUCGAAUGGCCACUGCCCAGGUUCCGUGGUACGAUCCCAUGAACAUGGAGACGGAGCAUGCAUGCUAGGACCCGAAAGAUGGUGAACUAUGCCUGGACAGAGCGAAGCCAAAGGAAACUCUGGUGGAGGCUCGUAGCGAUUCUGACGUGCAAAUCGAUCGUCUGAUCUGGGUAUAG
The sequence is a ribosomal RNA, 800 nucleotides long. It matches the Rfam family "Eukaryotic large subunit ribosomal RNA", at positions 83 to 920 of the family's 3401-position model.